GACGAACGCUGGCGGCGUGCUUAACACAUGCAAGUCGAACGGAAAGGCCCUGCUUUUGUGGGGUGCUCGAGUGGCGAACGGGUGGGUAACACGUGAGUAACCUGCCCUUGACUUUGGGAUAACUUCAGGAAACUGGGGCUAAUACCGGAUAGGAGCUCCUGCUGCAUGGUGGGGGUUGGAAAGUUUCGGCGGUUGGGGAUGGACUCGCGGCUUAUCAGCUUGUUGGUGGGGUAGUGGCUUACCAAGGCUUUGACGGGUAGCCGGCCUGAGAGGGUGACCGGACACAUUAGGACUGAGAUACGGCCCAGACUCCUACGGGAGGCAGCAGUGGGGAAUAUUGCACAAUGGGCGGAAGCAUGAUGCAGCAACGCCGCGUGCGGGAUGACGGCCAUCGGGUUGUAAACCGCUUUCGCCUGUGACGAAGCGUGAGUGACGGUAAUGGGUAAAGAAGCACCGGCUAACUACGUG
This 468-nucleotide ribosomal RNA is filed under the name uncultured bacterium. RNAcentral describes it as "partial 16S ribosomal RNA". It matches the Rfam family "Bacterial small subunit ribosomal RNA", at positions 28 to 507 of the family's 1533-position model. The record is from RNAcentral.